RNAcentral lists this unclassified non-coding RNA (231 nucleotides) under uncultured fungus. RNAcentral's name for it is "sequence contains ITS1, 5.8S rRNA gene". The stretch from base 183 to 231 matches the Rfam family "5.8S ribosomal RNA", at positions 1 to 49 of the family's 154-position model. Lineage: Eukaryota; Fungi. The record is from RNAcentral.
UUUCCGUAGGUGAACCUGCGGAAGGAUCAUUAGAGAAAUAUGCAACCCUCUACCGUCCACCCCUUUGUGAACCCUCGCGUGAGCCGGUAUGGGCUUUUCGAAGCCAGGAAAGCUUGCGAUCUCCCCUAUAAAUACCCCCCGUAAAGUCUCAGAAUGCACCUUGCGUUAACUCGCAUAAACACAACUUUCAGCAACGGAUCUCUUGGCUCUCGCAUCGAUGAAGAACGCAGC